Non-coding RNA from Pimephales promelas (fathead minnow), 625 nucleotides. Lineage: Eukaryota; Metazoa; Chordata; Actinopteri; Cypriniformes; Leuciscidae. The record is from RefSeq and is a predicted model, not a curated record.
UCAUUACUCUAAAGAAAUUUUUAUACUUGAUGUAACACAAAACAAUUAAUUUUCUAUCUAGCCAUCAGUUUAAUGUAAAAUUUUUCGUUGAUUUAAAUUAAAAGUAAGUAUUGUUAGUGUAAAGUAAAUGGAUUUCUUUAAAUUAAAGUAAAAAUAUUGGUUUCCGUUGUCACGUGACUUCUGACGUCAUCCGUGCCGUGGUCGUGCGUGAGACGUUCAGCUUUCCGCCAUCUUGUUAAACCGCAUGGAAGAACUCAGCGUGGGAAAACGGGAAGCAAGAAAAUUGCAGCGAAUAGUUUCACAGAAAUAUCACAUCAGAACCAUUAGUGCAUUGGAUGGCCAGCUCUGUUUCAACAAGAGGAGAUUAAUGCCGAAUUUUUUCUUAUCACGACCUUACCUUUGCAAUCAAGAUUUAUGGCCUCUUUGGACAGACAGAGCUCUCAGCUUCUCCAGGUGAUCAGGAGCGAAGGUGGACUCCUUCGUGAAAAAACUAAGGAUACUAUAAAAAGUCCGGACAUAGACGUCAGAAGAGAGUGCCUGCUGAAGUGCCUGAUCAUGUACCUUGGUGAAGAUGCAAGCUGUCUGAUCAAAGAAUACCAGGAUGACCAGAGGGAGGAAGCGGAGA